Molecule: ribosomal RNA, 478 nt
Filed under: uncultured bacterium
Lineage: Bacteria
Description: partial 16S ribosomal RNA
Rfam family: Bacterial small subunit ribosomal RNA
Source: RNAcentral
GACGAACGCUGGCGGCGUGCUUAACACAUGCAAGUCGAACGGUAAGGCCCUUCGGGGUACACGAGUGGCGAACGGGUGAGUAACACGUGGGUGAUCUGCCCUGCACUUCGGGAUAAGCCUGGGAAACUGGGUCUAAUACCGGAUAGGACCACUGCCUGCAUGGGUGGUGGUGGAAAGCUUUUGCGGUGUGGGAUGGGCCCGCGGCCUAUCAGCUUGUUGGUGGGGUGAUGGCCUACCAAGGCGACGACGGGUAGCCGGCCUGGGGGGGCGACCGGCCACACUGGGACUGAGAUACGGCCCAGACUCCUACGGGAGGCAGCAGUGGGGAAUAUUGCACAAUGGGCGCAAGCCUGAUGCAGCGACGCCGCGUGAGGGAUGACGGCCUUCGGGUUGUAAACCUCUUUCAGCACCGACGAAGCGCAAGUGACGGUAGGUGCAGAAGAAGGACCGGCCAACUACGUGCCAGCCGCCGCAGUAA